CGUGCAGGCGGUUUGGUAAGUUGGAUGUGAAAGCUCCUGGCUUAACUGGGAGAGGUCGUUCAAUACUGCCAAACUAGAGGACGGUAGAGGAAGGUAGAAUUCCUGGUGUAGUGGUGAAAUGCGUAGAUAUCAGGAGGAAUACCAGAGGCGAAGGCGGCCUUCUGGGCCGUUCCUGACGCUAAGACGCGAAAGCAUGGGUAGCGAACG
This 207-nucleotide ribosomal RNA is filed under the name uncultured bacterium. RNAcentral describes it as "partial 16S ribosomal RNA". It matches the Rfam family "Bacterial small subunit ribosomal RNA", at positions 568 to 774 of the family's 1533-position model. The record is from RNAcentral.